RNAcentral lists this unclassified non-coding RNA (267 nucleotides) under plant metagenome. Its description in RNAcentral is "partial contains small subunit ribosomal RNA, internal transcribed spacer 1, and 5.8S ribosomal RNA". The record is from RNAcentral.
UUUCCGUAGGUGAACCUGCGGAAGGAUCAUUACCGUACAAAAUGUGAGGGGCAUGCGAGGGCUGUCGCUGACCCAAGAGUCGUGCACGCCCGAGUGUGUCCUCUUGCAUAAUAAUCCAUCUCACCCUUUGUGCAUCACCGCGUGGGCACCCUUCGGGAUCAUCUCGGAGGGGGGCUCGCGUUUUCACACAAACCCCCCUUUUAAAAGUGUAGAAUGACCACAUUUAUGCAAUCAAUACAACUUUCAACAACGGAUCUCUUGGCUCUC